GAUGAACGCUAGCGGCGUGCCUAAUACAUGCAAGUCGAGCGAACAGACGAGGAGCUUGCUCCUCUGACGUUAGCGGCGGACGGGUGAGUAACACGUGGAUAACCUACCUAUAAGACUGGGAUAACUUCGGGAAACCGGAGCUAAUACCGGAUAAUAUAUUGAACCGCAUGGUUCAAUAGUGAAAGACGGUUUUGCUGUCACUUAUAGAUGGAUCCGCGCCGCAUUAGCUAGUUGGUAAGGUAACGGCUUACCAAGGCAACGAUGCGUAGCCGACCUGAGAGGGUGAUCGGCCACACUGGAACUGAGACACGGUCCAGACUCCUACGGGAGGCAGUAGUAGGGAAUCUUCCGCAAUGGGCGAAAGCCUGACGGAGCAACGCCGCGUGAGUGAUGAAGGUCUUCGGAUCGUAAAACUCUGUUAUUAGGGAAGAACAAAUGUGUAAGUAACUAUGCACGUCUUGACGGUACCUAAUCAGAAAGCCACGGCUAACUACGUGCCAGCCGCCGCGGUAA
This 513-nucleotide ribosomal RNA is filed under the name uncultured bacterium. RNAcentral describes it as "partial 16S ribosomal RNA". It matches the Rfam family "Bacterial small subunit ribosomal RNA", at positions 28 to 523 of the family's 1533-position model. The record is from RNAcentral.